Molecule: ribosomal RNA, 450 nt
Filed under: uncultured bacterium
Lineage: Bacteria
Description: partial 16S ribosomal RNA
Rfam family: Bacterial small subunit ribosomal RNA
Source: RNAcentral
GUGGGGAAUUUUGGACAAUGGGCGCAAGCCUGAUCCAGCAAUGCCGCGUGCAGGAAGAAGGCCUUCGGGUUGUAAACUGCUUUUGUACGGAACGAAACGGUCCGGGUUAAUACCCUGGGCUAAUGACGGUACCGUAAGAAUAAGCACCGGCUAACUACGUGCCAGCAGCCGCGGUAAUACGUAGGGUGCGAGCGUUAAUCGGAAUUACUGGGCGUAAAGCGUGCGCAGGCGGUGCUGUAAGACAGGCGUGAAAUCGCCGGGCUCAACCUGGGAAUUGCGCUUGAGACUGCAGUGCUGGAGUGCGGCAGAGGGGGGUGGAAUUCCGCGUGUAGCAGUGAAAUGCGUAGAUAUGCGGAGGAACACCGAUGGCGAAGGCAAUCCCCUGGGCCUGCACUGACGCUCAUGCACGAAAGCGUGGGGAGCAAACAGGAUUAGAAACCCCGGUAGUCC